RNAcentral lists this ribosomal RNA (471 nucleotides) under uncultured organism. RNAcentral's name for it is "partial 16S ribosomal RNA". It matches the Rfam family "Bacterial small subunit ribosomal RNA", at positions 330 to 797 of the family's 1533-position model. The record is from RNAcentral.
CGUACACUCCUGCGGGAGGCAGCAGUGAGGAAUAUUGGACAAUGGGUGGAAGCCUGAUCCAGCCAUCCCGCGUGCAGGAAGACGGCCCUAUGGGUUGUAAACUGCUUUUAUCUGGGGAUAAACCUACUUACGUGUAAGUAGCUGAAGGUACCAGAAGAAUAAGCACCGGCUAACUCCGUGCCAGCAGCCGCGGUAAUACGGAGGGUGCAAGCGUUAUCCGGAUUUAUUGGGUUUAAAGGGUCCGUAGGCGGACUGAUAAGUCAGUGGUGAAAUCCGACAGCUUAACUGUCGAACUGCCAUUGAUACUGUUAGUCUUGAGUAAGGUUGAAGUGGCUGGAAUAAGUAGUGUAGCGGUGAAAUGCAUAGAUAUUACUUAGAACACCAAUUGCGAAGGCAGGUCACUAAGUCUUAACUGACGCUGAUGGACGAAAGCGUGGGGAGCGAACAGGAUUAGAAACCCGUGUAGUCCCA